AAAAGGAAAGAAAGAAACAGAGAGCAAAACAAGCAGAGAAGGAAGGAAGGAAAGAAAGAAAGAAAGAAAAAGAAAAAGGGAAAUUUAAGGUUUUGAGGUUCCAAGCUCAAUUGCUAAUGUCGUGUACGAGUCAUUGUCCGAGAACGGAAAGGAGAAAGAGGACAAGGAGUGACUCGAGAGAAAUUUCGGUUAGGUCAAAGUCGGAUUGUUGAAUCAGCAUCCAAAGCCGAUUCUGAACUAAUUGUGGUGGUGAACAUUUUUUUUAGUUAUGGCAUGUAUAGGAAUUUAGUCAUUUUGUAUGUUUGUAAAUAUGAUUUUGUUAUAGAAUGAUGUGUAAGUAUUUGAUGAUGAAAUGGUUGUUUAAAUGAUCAAGGAUGAAGUUAUUUGUUGUUAUAAAAGUCUAAGUGAUAAAUUAUGUAAAA
Gossypium raimondii (Peruvian cotton) is the source of this 422-nucleotide long non-coding RNA. RefSeq lists it as uncharacterized. The record is from RefSeq and is a predicted model, not a curated record. The transcript has 3 exons. NCBI's taxonomy places the organism in Eukaryota, Viridiplantae, Streptophyta, Magnoliopsida, Malvales, Malvaceae.